GCAGCGAAAUGCGAUAAGUAAUGUGAAUUGCAGAUCUCAGUGAAUCAUCGAAUCUUUGAACGCACCUUGCGCUCUUUGGUAUUCCAAAGGGCAUGCCUGUUUGAGUGUCAUUAAAUUCUCAAAGCAUUGCUUUGGAUAUGAAGAUUGCUGGCAUAGUCAGCUUCUUUGAA
This 170-nucleotide ribosomal RNA is filed under the name Tricholomopsis decora. Its description in RNAcentral is "5.8S ribosomal RNA". The stretch from base 1 to 110 matches the Rfam family "5.8S ribosomal RNA", at positions 45 to 154 of the family's 154-position model. From Rfam's summary of the family: 5.8S ribosomal RNA (5.8S rRNA) is a component of the large subunit of the eukaryotic ribosome. It is transcribed by RNA polymerase I as part of the 45S precursor that also contains 18S and 28S rRNA. Functionally, it is thought that 5.8S rRNA may be involved in ribosome translocation. The record is from RNAcentral. Lineage: Eukaryota; Fungi; Basidiomycota; Agaricomycetes; Agaricales.